AACGAACGCUGGCGGCAUGCCUAACACAUGCAAGUCGAACGAGACCUCCGGGUCUAGUGGCGCACGGGUGCGUAACGCGUGGGAACCUGCCCUUAGGUUCGGAAUAACUCCCCGAAAGGGGUGCUAAUACCGGAUAAUGUCUUCGGACCAAAGAUUUAUCGCCUUUGGAUGGGCCCGCGUUGGAUUAGCUAGUUGGUAGGGUAAAAGCCUACCAAGGCGACGAUCCAUAGCUGGUCUGAGAGGAUGAUCGGCCACACUGGGACUGAGACACGGCCCAGACUCCUACGGGAGGCAGCAGUGGGGAAUAUUGGACAAUGGGCGAAAGCCUGAUCCAGCAAUGCCGCGUGAGUGAUGAAGGCCUUAGGGUUGUAAAGCUCUUUUACCCGGGAUGAUAAUGACAGUACCGGGAGAAUAAGCGCCGGCUAACUCCGUG
RNAcentral lists this ribosomal RNA (433 nucleotides) under uncultured bacterium. RNAcentral's name for it is "partial 16S ribosomal RNA". It matches the Rfam family "Bacterial small subunit ribosomal RNA", at positions 29 to 507 of the family's 1533-position model. The record is from RNAcentral.